RNAcentral lists this ribosomal RNA (626 nucleotides) under uncultured Russulaceae. Its description in RNAcentral is "LSU rRNA". It matches the Rfam family "Eukaryotic large subunit ribosomal RNA", at positions 47 to 649 of the family's 3401-position model. The record is from RNAcentral. Lineage: Eukaryota; Fungi; Basidiomycota; Agaricomycetes; Russulales; Russulaceae.
UAAGCGGAGGAAAAGAAACUAACAAGGAUUCCCCUAGUAACUGCGAGUGAAGCGGGAAAAGCUCAAAUUUAAANUCUGGCGGUCUUUGGCUGUCCGAGUUGUAAUUUAGAGAAGCGUCUUCCGCGCCGGACCGUGCACAAGUCUCCUGGAAUGGAGCGUCAUAGAGGGUGAGAAUCCCGUCUUUGGCACGGAUGCCUGUGCUUCUGUGAUGCGCUCCCAAAGAGUCGAGUUGUUUGGGAAUGCAGCUCAAAAUGGGUGGUGAACUCCAUCUAAAGCUAAAUAUUGGCGAGAGACCGAUAGCGAACAAGUACCGUGAGGGAAAGAUGAAAAGCACUUUGGAAAGAGAGUGAAACAGUACGUGAAAUUGUUGAAAGGGAAACGCUUGAAGUCAGUCGCGUCGACCGAGACUCAGCCUUGCCUUGGCUCGGUGUACUUCUCGGCCCGACGGGUCAGCAUCAAUUUUGCCCCUCGGAUAAUGGCAAGGGAAAGGUGGCACCUUUGCGGGUGUGUUAUAGUCUCCUGUCGCAUGCGAGGGGUGGGAUUGAGGAACUCAGCGCGCACCUUGGUGUCGGGGCUUCGGCCCACGUCACGCGCUUAGGAUGCUGGCGUAAUGGCUUUGAACGACC